This 236-nucleotide long non-coding RNA is filed under the name Elaeis guineensis (African oil palm). RNAcentral's name for it is "long non-coding RNA (EGUI_LNC078421)". The record is from RNAcentral. Lineage: Eukaryota; Viridiplantae; Streptophyta; Magnoliopsida; Arecales; Arecaceae.
UGCCCCCACAGCCAUGUUAGGAACAGGAGGAGAACCUCAUCCUGACAUUAGCAAAGUCGAAGAUCCGAUUCUUUGAGACCGGAUGGGGGGAGAGGCCCUUGCAACGACCUUUAUGUGCCCCCACAGCCCCGUUGGGAACAGGAGGAGAACCUCGUCCUAACCUGAGCUGAGAUCGACUACGUCAAGAACAGAAGGAGAACCUCGUCCUGACGAUGAUAAAAACCUGAUCGUCCAAC